CUAAAUUUGAGUUAUCAUCCUUUCUAUAGAGCAGAGGUUUGUGUGUUAUCUUAGCAAGCUGAGCUCGAUGAAAUAGCCUGGAGAGCUCUGUGGAUUCUGCGAGGGCUCCUACAUGGAGGUCAGGGGCGCAGAAGGCUCCGUAUUGCUGUUCCAUAUGCCUGUUUGCCCUUCCUAUUAGAAGGCUGGAAAUAUAAUUAGGAGACAAGCACCACAGAUGCUGCAGUUUACAAUAACCAGAAGAAACCACCGAAAUGGAUAGAGCCCGGGCGCCGGGAGACGCAAGAAAGGAAGAAGCCCUGUGCUCAGUUUCGACAGAUGCCUUAACCCCUGUCAUGGCAACUGCAAACAUCAUCGUGGUUAGUCCCCCUCCCCC
RNAcentral lists this long non-coding RNA (373 nucleotides) under Mustela putorius furo (domestic ferret). Its description in RNAcentral is "lncRNA (ENSMPUG00000030685.1)". The record is from RNAcentral. Lineage: Eukaryota; Metazoa; Chordata; Mammalia; Carnivora; Mustelidae.